GGAGGAAGGACCUUAGCUCAGUGGGACAGAACAACUGUCUUGGAUUCAGAAGGUUGCAGGUUUGAUCCCUGGUGUCUCCU
Non-coding RNA from Podarcis lilfordi (Lilford's wall lizard), 80 nucleotides. The record is from the annotation of a GenBank genome assembly. Lineage: Eukaryota; Metazoa; Chordata; Lepidosauria; Squamata; Lacertidae.